Molecule: ribosomal RNA, 253 nt
Filed under: uncultured bacterium
Lineage: Bacteria
Description: partial 16S ribosomal RNA
Rfam family: Bacterial small subunit ribosomal RNA
Source: RNAcentral
UACGAAGGGUGCAAACGUUGCUCGGAAUCAUUGGGCGUAAAGCGCACGUAGGCGGCUUAGCAAGUCGGAUGUGAAAUCCCUCGGCUCAACCAAGGAAGUGCAUCCGAAACUGCUGAGCUUGAGUACUUAAGAGGAUCGCGGAAUUCCCGGUGUAGAGGUGAAAUUCGUAGAUAUCGGGAGGAACACCAGUGGCGAAGGCGGCGAUCUGGGAAGAUACUGACGCUGAGGUGCGAAAGCGUGGGGAGCAAACAGG